Cebus imitator (Panamanian white-faced capuchin) is the source of this 1235-nucleotide long non-coding RNA. RefSeq lists it as uncharacterized. Lineage: Eukaryota; Metazoa; Chordata; Mammalia; Primates; Cebidae. The transcript has 4 exons. The record is from RefSeq and is a predicted model, not a curated record.
AUCUGAAGUUCAAAGGCUGAGAACCAGGAGAGCCAAUGGGGCAAGUUCCAGUCCAAGUUCCAAGGCAGGAGAUCAGUAUUCCAGCUCCAAGGCCAUUAGCUUAUGGGUCACUAGGCCUUGAGAAGGCACAUUUGGACCUACGAUCCUGGACUUUGAGCUAGAUGCGGCAACUGGAUCAGAGAACAAAUAUGCCUUGGCUUCUCCUUCUGAGGACCUAUCUCUGUUUUCCAAAGCUGUUCAUUCUAUAAACAUCCUUGGAAAGAUACUCUGGAACAAAGACAGUGAUAACCUCUGCUCUAAGACAUGCACAAAGGUUCUGCAUACCAAUGAAGCUACUGACGUCAGCUGGCCUGAAGGACCUCACAGGAGCUGACUCACCGAAGAAUGCAGUUUCCACAUUCUGAUGAUUUCAUCCUCUCUCCUCUAACCAAUCAAUGACCUCAAUUUUCCAGCUCCUUGCCCUCCAUGGUCCCUUAAAAAAAACCCAGUCUAGAGCUCCUCAGGGUGAUGGAUAUGAGGGCCUCCUUCCAUCUCCUUGCUUAGAGCCCUGUGAUCAUUAAACUCUUUCUCUGCUGCAAACUCUGCUGUCUCAGUGUAAUUGGUAUGUUACUGUGCAAUGGGCAUACCAACCUGUUGGUCCUGUAACAUCCUCAUGAGCAAAAUGGAGAUUGCAUCCACUUCUCUGUGUGGUAAAGAUGAAAUUCAACAUGAAUAAAAUGAUGUUCAGUAGAUGUUCAGUAAAUAUUUCUUCCUUUCCCUUGUCCUUAGGCCCUUUCUGUUUCUCUUCAGGAUGUAGCACUGGGCUUAGAAAGCCCCUGGCUGGUGUUUGCUGAAUGAACUUGGCUUCAUCAUAACAUUUGUAGACAUGCUUCUUCCCUUUCUGUUUAUAGCUGCCAUGUGUGAGCUUAUCUAUAGCCCUUUUGCCAGCUUGGUAUAAUUCUGUUUUUCAUGGGCAGCCUUUAGAAAAUUCUUAUGUGCCAAGAUGACUUCACUGUUGCUUGUUUUCUUCAUUCACGAAACAAUUCAUUUAACAAAUGGAAAGACCAGAUAUGUGCUUGGCUCCAGUGGUAAAUAACAUGGAUUUCACUGCCAUGAAACUGGCAGCUACAAUCAGAGGGACAGGCUUGACAAUCUGCCCCCCCAGAAUGGUGAACUCAGACAGUGCACAGCUGUCACGGCCACCUAACCCAGCAGUUCAACAUAUGCAAUUUUAUUCUGCUGUCAUGCCAUAUAAU